Molecule: ribosomal RNA, 469 nt
Filed under: uncultured bacterium
Lineage: Bacteria
Description: bacterial SSU rRNA
Rfam family: Bacterial small subunit ribosomal RNA
Source: RNAcentral
ACUCCUACGGGAGGCAGCAGUGGGGAAUAUUGGACAAUGGGCGAAAGCCUGAUCCAGCAAUGCCGCGUGUGUGAAGAAGGCCUGCGGGUUGUAAAGCACUUUCAGUGGGGAAGAAAAGCCUGGGGCUAAUACCUCCGGGUCUUGACGUUAUCCACAGAAGAAGCACCGGCUAACUCCGUGCCAGCAGCCGCGGUAAUACGGAGGGUGCGAGCGUUAAUCGGAAUUACUGGGCGUAAAGCGUGCGCAGGCGGUCAGGUCAGUCGGAUGUGAAAGCCCCGGGCUUAACCUGGGAACUGCAUUCGAUACUGCCUGACUAGAGUGCGGGAGAGGGAAGUGGAAUUUCCGGUGUAGCGGUGAAAUGCGUAGAUAUCGGAAGGAACACCAGUGGCGAAGGCGACUUCCUGGCCCAGCACUGACGCUCAGGCACGAAAGCGUGGGGAGCAAACAGGAUUAGAUACCCCGGUAGUCC